Molecule: ribosomal RNA, 230 nt
Filed under: Saxifraga chionophila
Lineage: Eukaryota; Viridiplantae; Streptophyta; Magnoliopsida; Saxifragales; Saxifragaceae
Also listed under: 1 other name
Description: 5.8S ribosomal RNA
Rfam family: 5.8S ribosomal RNA (bases 1-151)
About the family: 5.8S ribosomal RNA (5.8S rRNA) is a component of the large subunit of the eukaryotic ribosome.
Source: RNAcentral
UCGGCAACGGAUAUCUCGGCUCUUACAUCGAUGAAGAACGUAGCAAAAUGCGAUACUUGGUGUGAAUUGCAGAAUCCCGUGAACCAUCGAGUCUUUGAACGCAAGUUGCGCCCGAAUCCAUCUGGUUGAGGGCACGUCUGCCUGGGUGUCACGUACGCGUGCCUCCCGCGAACCUUCCCCUUUAUGCGGACGAAUGGUCUCGCGGGAGCAGAUGUUGGUAUCCCGUGCCU